RNAcentral lists this transfer-messenger RNA (373 nucleotides) under Vitreoscilla sp. It matches the Rfam family "transfer-messenger RNA". From Rfam's summary of the family: Bacterial tmRNA, also known as 10Sa RNA or SsrA, is named for its dual tRNA and mRNA-like properties. Its role is to liberate the mRNA from a stalled ribosome. Lineage: Bacteria; Pseudomonadati; Pseudomonadota; Betaproteobacteria; Neisseriales; Neisseriaceae. The record is from RNAcentral.
GGGGCCGACCUGGUUUCGACGUGGGUGCGGAGUUGGGAAAGGGCAUGCCGAGCACCAGUUCGCUCGUAAAACCACUGGAAACAAAGUAACUGCGAACGAUACUUCGUACGCCCUCGCCGCUUAACACCGGUGAGCCUCUCAACGGUUGGCCAAUGGGCCGGGUUGAAGACCGCAAGGUCGGAAGCUGAGAGGUCAUUCACAUUGGCUGGUUUCCCGGUGGGCCACUCACCAGGGAACAAGAUCAAGUGGCUGGCAAGUCCGGUAGCGUGCUGCUGCGCGACCGGGCGGGUGAGACUCAAAUCAGUCAGCUAAGCAUGUAGAUCUACCUGGCAAUGGCUUGCGGACGGGGGUUCAAUUCCCCCCGGCUCCACCA